CCUACGGGCGGCAGCAGUGAGGAAUAUUGGUCAAUGGACGAGAGUCUGAACCAGCCAAGUAGCGUGAAGGAUGACUGCCCUAUGGGUUGUAAACUUCUUUUAUCUGGGAAUAAAAUGUUCCACGUGUGGGAUUUUGUAUGUACCAUAUGAAUAAGGAUCGGAUAACUCCGUUCCAGCAGCCGCGGUAAUACGGAGGACACGAGCGUUAUCCGGAUUUAUUGGGUUUAAAGGGAGCGUAGGUGGAUUGUUAAGUCAGUUGUGAAAGUUUGCGGCUCAACCGUAAAAUUGCAGUUGAAACUGGCAGUCUUGAGUACAGUAGAGGUGGGCGGAAUUCGUGGUGUAGCGGUGAAAUGCUUAGAUAUCACGAAGAACUCCGAUUGCGAAGGCAGUUCACUGGACUGCAACUGACACUGAGGCUCGAAAGUGUGGGUAUCAAACAGGAUUAGAUACCCUAGUAGUC
Molecule: ribosomal RNA, 460 nt
Filed under: uncultured bacterium
Lineage: Bacteria
Description: partial 16S ribosomal RNA
Rfam family: Bacterial small subunit ribosomal RNA
Source: RNAcentral